Molecule: long non-coding RNA, 3204 nt
Organism: Homo sapiens (human)
Lineage: Eukaryota; Metazoa; Chordata; Mammalia; Primates; Hominidae
Exons: 6
Source: RefSeq, a predicted model, not a curated record
GAGGGAGGGAGAAAGGCAGAGAGAUUCAGAGACAGAGAAAGAGAUACGGGGAAAGAGAUGGACAGAGAGAGAGGGGACAGAGAAUGCUGUGGUCCGGCUGUCUGUUCCUGCAGAUCCCAGGCAGGGGCUGGGGGAGGGUCCUCUGUCUGAGGUCUGGGCCACCUGUCUGAAUGCUUGUCUCUGCUGGGUGGAGCUAUGGUUUGGUAGCUUGUUCCUGCUGGACUGGGGCUGCCUGGCCCAGGGUAAGGAAUCUGGGGCAAAUGGGUGGACCUCGUUUGGACAGCACCUGGCCAGCCAUAGCAUCUGGCUCUCACACCUUGGGAGGUGUCAUCCCUGACUCUUCCUUUUCCCAUCCCUCAAUUUGGGGAUGUGAAAUAUCCCAAUUUUGCAAGAUCGCAGUAAGGGUGACACUCAAGAGUCUGUCCAAUGAAAGUCACUGAACAUUGAAUAAUAACAUUUAUUAUUAAUAAUAUUUUCAUUAUUUUAUUAAUAAGAAUUAUUAAUAUUUUUUAUCAUUUUAUUCUUAAUAAUAAUAAAACUCACCCUUUGCAAUGUCAAGUACAGCGGCUGGGGGUAGGGAACACUCACCUGUUCUGUGAUUACAGGCUGCAUUCUCUGCAACACAAAAGCAAGCAAACUUUUGAGUGUCUGGACCGUCCCUGAAAGCCUCCUCCUCCCAAACUCAAAUUUCUCCCUCCAGGAAAACCAGCAAAACAGUGAGGGCUCUGGGAAGGCCUUCGGGCAGCAGUGGGGGCAAAAUAAUGAGCUUAGGAGUAAAUAGCACCUGACCAAAAGGUUUGUUUGUUUAUUUAUUUAUGAGACGGAGUCUCACUCCGUCACCCAGGCUGGAAUGCAGUGGCGUGAUCUCGGCUCACUGCAACCUCCGCCUCCCGGAUUCAAGUGAUUCUUUUGCCUCAGUCUCCCGAGUAGCUGGGACUACAGAUACUUCAAAUUACUUCUCCUAUGCAUUUGGAGAGCGGGAGAGAAAAACACCAGGAAGGAAGAGGGAACAAAGAAACUCUACAGGCAGAGACACAGGACUGAGCCGCGUUGGGGGCACUGGGAGGAGUGAGCCUUGGGGUUGCACCCUCGGAGCCCCACUGUCCUGGGAGCAGCCUUCAGAACCACCCUUUUGUUCUCUGAAGUACCAGGCGUUCAGCUUUUCCAAGGACUGGCAGCUGCACAUCUUUGUCCCUGCCCCUUCCAUCUCUAGGCUCAGCCCCGCUGGGCAGCCUGGCCCACUCCCCACCCCUGCCCAGGGCCAACCCCUACUUCCCAUGCCCCCUCUGCCCACCUGCAGCACACUGGAGCCUUGGAGGCCCUCUCUGCAUCAUUCAAGAUGCAGACUCCUACACUUUGACCUGCACACAUCCUCCUGAAGCUUCCACUUCCUGGCCCCUGCCUGGCUUCUCACCUCCCCCACCUCCGCCCCCCAGGGGAUGUGCCGCCUCUCCCAGUGGCCCAGGACAUCCUCCACUUCCCGGGAACCCCAGGCACUUCCACAUCCUCAGACACAGUGAGAAGAUGACCCUCUCUCCAAGCCAGGAAGAGACCUCCCGAGGAGCCCAGCCAGCCAGCACGCUGACCUCCAACGUCCAGCCUCUGGAAAUGGGAUACCGAAGGCUGCGCUCCUGCCCCGCACCAGGAUGUGGGAACUUUGAGAACCGCUGGAGAGUCGAGAGAUGUCAUCGAAACGACACCCGAUACGUGUUCCCUGAGCAUCCGUUUUGUAGUGAAGACACUCGUACUGUUGACGCCUGCUGCGGUAAGCGGAGACAGGGCAGGGCGAUCAGGAGCAGCGUGAGCCAAAGGAGGACCAUCGGGAACGCAGCUCCGGAACGCAGGACAGAGGUGCCUGCUGCAGGAGAAACGAGAGUCAGGCAGCGGGGACUGGCUGUGAAACUGGGUUGCGGGUAAUGAAGGAUGCUUGCCCCUUCCAGAGCCUGGUGCUCACAGCAGAAGGAGCUGCUUCUGGAGGGAAAGCGGUGAACAUUGUCACGACCCCAAAAGGAGACUCCAGACCCAUUAAAGACCCGUCCUUCCUCUUCCCCAGCCUGUGGCAACCACUCAUCCACUUUCUGUCUCUGUGGAUUUGCCUGUAUCUGGACAUAGGGAAUAAAUGGAAUCAUACAGACACUAUGUAUCUUUUUGUAUCUGGCCUCUCUCAGGAAGCAUGAUGUCCUCAGCAUUCACCCACAUUGCCACCUGUGGCAGAGCCUCGUUCCUUUUCAUGGCUGUGUAAUAUUCCACCGUGUGGCUGGACCACAUUAUAUUUCUCCAUUCAUCUAUAGAUGGGUAUGAGGACUCUCUCCACCUCUUGGCUAGUGUGAAUAAAGCUGCUUAUUCCUUUUCAUGGCUGUGUAAUAUUCCACCGUGUGGCUGGACCACAUUAUAUUUCUCCAUUCAUCUAUAGAUGGGGUAUGAGGGCUGUCUCCACCUCUUGGCUAUUGUGAAUAAAGCUGCUUGUUCCUUUUCAUGGCUGUGUAAUAUUCCACUGUGUGGAUGGACAUUAUAUUUUUCCAUUCAUCUAUAGAUGGGUAUGAGGGCUGUCUCCACCUCUUGGCUAUUGUGAAUAAAGCUGCUUGUUCCUUUUCAUGGCUGUGUAAUAUUCCACUGUGUGGAUGGACAUUAUAUUUCUCCCUUCAUCUAUAGAUGGGGGUAUGAGGGCUGUCUCCACCUCUUGGCUAUUGUGAAUAAAGCUGCUUGUUCCUUUUCAUGGCUGUAUAAUAUUCCACUGUGUGUCUGGACCACAUUAUAUUUCUCCAUUCAUCUAUAGAUGGGUACGAGGGCUGUCUCCACCUCUUGGCUAUUGUGAAUAAAGCUGCUUGUUCCUUUUCAUGGCUGUAUAAUAUUCCACUGUGUGGCUGGACCACAUUAUAUUUCUCCAUUCAUCUAUAGAUGGGUAUGAGGGCUGUCUCCACCUCUUGGCUAUUGUGAAUAAAGCUGCUUGUUCCUUUUCAUGGCUGUGUAAUAUUCCACUGUGUGGCUGGACCACAUUAUAUUUAUCCAUUCGUCUAUAGAUGGGUAUGAGGGCUGUCUCCACCUCUUGGCUAUUGUGAAUAAAGCUGCUUGUUCCUUUUCAUGGCUGUGUAAUAUUCCACCGUGUGGCUGGACCACAUUAUAUUUAUCCAUUCGUCUAUAGAUGGGUAUGAGGGCUGUCUCCACCUCUUGGCUAUUGUGAAUAAAGCUGCUUGUUCCUUUUCA